AUUGAACGCUGGCGGCAUGCUUUACACAUGCAAGUCGAACGGUAACAGGGUGCUUGCACCGCUGACGAGUGGCGAACGGGUGAGUAAUGCGUCGGAACGUGCCGAGUAGUGGGGGAUAACGCAGCGAAAGUUGUGCUAAUACCGCAUACGUACUGAGGUAGAAAGUGGGGGACCUUCGGGCCUCACGCUAUUCGAGCGGCCGACGUCUGAUUAGCUAGUAGGUGAGGUAAAGGCUAACCUAGGCGACGAUCAGUAGCGGGUCUGGGAGGAUGAUCCGCCACACUGGGACUGAGACACGGCCCAGACUCCUACGGGAGGCGGCAGUGGGGAAUUUUGGACAAUGGGCGAAAGCCUGAUCCAGCCAUGCCGCGUGUCUGAAGAAGGCCUUCGGGUUGUAAAGGACUUUUGUCGGGGAGGAAAUCCCCAGCGUUAAUACCGCUGGGGGAUGACAGUACCUGAAGAAUAAGCACCGGCUAACUACGUGCCAGCAGCCGCGGUAA
RNAcentral lists this ribosomal RNA (500 nucleotides) under uncultured bacterium. RNAcentral describes it as "partial 16S ribosomal RNA". It matches the Rfam family "Bacterial small subunit ribosomal RNA", at positions 30 to 523 of the family's 1533-position model. The record is from RNAcentral.